CCUACGGGCGGCAGCAGUGGGGAAUAUUGGGCAAUGGGCGAAAGCCUGAUCCAGCCAUGCCGCGUGUGUGAAGAAGGCCUUCGGGUUGUAAAGCACUUUCAGUGGGGAAGAAAGCCUUGGGGCUAAUACCCUCGAGGAAGGACAUCACCCACAGAAGAAGCACCGGCUAACUCCGUGCCAGCAGCCGCGGUAAUACGGAGGGUGCGAGCGUUAAUCGGAAUUACUGGGCGUAAAGCGCGCGUAGGCGGUCUGAUAAGCCGGUUGUGAAAGCCCCGGGCUCAACCUGGGAACGGCAUCCGGAACUGUCAGGCUAGAGUGCAGGAGAGGAAGGUAGAAUUCCCGGUGUAGCGGUGAAAUGCGUAGAGAUCGGGAGGAAUACCAGUGGCGAAGGCGGCCUUCUGGACUGACACUGACGCUGAGGUGCGAAAGCGUGGGUAGCAAACAGGAUUAGAUACCCCAGUAGUC
RNAcentral lists this ribosomal RNA (465 nucleotides) under Vreelandella stevensii. Its description in RNAcentral is "partial 16S ribosomal RNA". It matches the Rfam family "Bacterial small subunit ribosomal RNA", at positions 338 to 795 of the family's 1533-position model. Lineage: Bacteria; Pseudomonadati; Pseudomonadota; Gammaproteobacteria; Oceanospirillales; Halomonadaceae. The record is from RNAcentral.